RNAcentral lists this non-coding RNA (148 nucleotides) under Gorilla gorilla gorilla (western lowland gorilla). Lineage: Eukaryota; Metazoa; Chordata; Mammalia; Primates; Hominidae. The record is from Rfam by way of RNAcentral.
GCCGGGCAUGGUGGUGCUUGCCUGUAGUCCCAGCUACUUGGGAGGCUGAGGCAGAAGAAUCGCUUGAACUCAGGAGGCAGAGGUUGCAGUGAGCCGAGAUCGUGCCACUGCACUCUAGCCUGGGCGACAGAGCGAGACUCCGUCUUAA